CCUACGGGUGGCAGCAGUAGGGAAUUUUCGGCAAUGGGGGGAACCCUGACCGAGCAACGCCGCGUGAAGGAAGAAGGAAUUCGUUCUGUAAACUUCUGUUAUAAAGGAAGAAAGACGGAUGGAGGAAAUGACAUCCGAGUGACGGUACUUUAUGAGAAAGCCACGGCUAACUACGUGCCAGCAGCCGCGGUAAUACGUAGGUGGCAAGCGUUAUCCGGAAUUAUUGGGCGUAAAGCGGGAGCAGGCGGCAGCAAAGGUCUGUGGUGAAAGACUGAAGCUUAACUUCAGUAAGCCAUAGAAACCGGGCAGCUAGAGUGCAGGAGAGGAUCGUGGAAUUCCAUGUGUAGCGGUGAAAUGCGUAGAUAUCUGGAGGAACAUCAGUGGCGAAGGCGACUAUCUGGCACAUAACUGACGCUGAGGAGCGAAAGCGUGGGUAGCAAACAGGAUUAGAUACCCUAGUAGUC
This 464-nucleotide ribosomal RNA is filed under the name uncultured bacterium. Its description in RNAcentral is "partial 16S ribosomal RNA". It matches the Rfam family "Bacterial small subunit ribosomal RNA", at positions 338 to 795 of the family's 1533-position model. The record is from RNAcentral.